AUUGAACGCUGGCGGCAGGCCUAACACAUGCCAGUCGAGCGGAUGAAGGGAGCUUGCUCCUGGAUUCAGCGGCGGACGGGUGAGUAAUGCCUAGGAAUCUGCCUGGUAGUGGGGGAUAACGUCCGGAAACGGGCGCUAAUAUCGCAUACGUCCUGAGGGAGAAAGUGGGGGAUCUUCGGACCUCACGCUAUCAGAUGAGCCUAGGUCGGAUUAGCUAGUUGGUGGGGUAAAGGCCUACCAAGGCGACGAUCCGUAACUGGUCUGAGAGGAUGAUCAGUCACACUGGAACUGAGACACGGUCCAGACUCCUACGGGAGGCAGCAGUGGGGAAUAUUGGACAAUGGGCGAAAGCCUGAUCCAGCCAUGCCGCGUGUGUGAAGAAGGUCUUAGGAUUGUAAAGCACUUUAAGUUGGGAGGAAGGGCAGUAAGUUAAUACCUUGCUGUUUUGACGUUACCAACAGAAUAAGCACCGGCUAACUUCGUG
Molecule: ribosomal RNA, 484 nt
Filed under: uncultured bacterium
Lineage: Bacteria
Description: partial 16S ribosomal RNA
Rfam family: Bacterial small subunit ribosomal RNA
Source: RNAcentral